AACUACAUAUUGUCUACCAGUUGAUGUGAUUGGUGCAUCUAUGAUCUUUAUGAUGUGUAUCAGUGGAACCCAACGGAUAUCUUCUCUUCUGGGCCAACUGUAAGACUUUGCAGGACCAUGAGGGUGCAUAAAUUGUACUUGCCCACCUGUUCCUCCUCCGAUAUUGCACAGAUAUUACCAAUCCACCAUUGCUGGUCAUACAAACAUGCAACAUAUUUUCCUGGGAUCAUGUCUGACAGGGUGUAACCUUUCACAGCAUCAUCUACAACCUGGGGAUGAGUGCCACUCAUGUCCACAAUGAAGCUUGGUCCACCAGACACUCUGCUGAUCUGCAACUGGCUCUCUGAGAUGGGAACAAAUGAGUGGUUGUCCCUUGUUCCUGAGAUCUCGUGGUGUCAGUAUGUGUUGUGAAGUAACUGCCUGUAAGCUGGCUCUAGCUGCAGAACGCUUCACGGUGCUACCUAUCCUGUCACAAGACUGCAUCCCGGUAGCUGUGUGAGGUGAACUGGAGGAUAAUCGCUUGAGGUUUGGAGUCGUCUUUCCAUUGGCUGACCGAGCCGAUGUACUGUGUUGAUCACCUCAGGAAACUUGGCCUGGUACUCGGCUUACACAUAAGAGGAAAUAUUCACCCAUGUGGAACAUUUUGAAAUGGUUCCUCCCAAUGAGGUGAAGUGCUUGCUGUGCCAGAAGGAACGAGUGUAGAACAAGAAUAUAUCAUCAGUGCUGAGGCAUUAUAGAGCUUUUCAUGAGAAUCAGCAGCCUGCCAACAGACCAGACACAAGCGACAAUUCCAGAAAAACAAAUGAUGGAUGAGGCCUUGGUUAAUAUGAUAAUUCCAGACACCCAGCCAUUGUCAGUGGUGGAAGAUGUGGGUUUGAUGGAGCUCAUGCACAUACUGGAACCCACUGAUCUUCUCCCUACUAGGAAGAUGUCAGAAUGUAGUGACAGUCAGCCUCACCUCUGAUAUCUGGACAUCCAUGAAUAUGGAGACUUACCUUCCAGUAACCUGCCACUUCAUUGAUGACAAUGACAGACUUGGAACAAUUUUGCUUGGAGCAGAACAUUUUCCAAGUCGUCACACAGCAGAAAAUAUGGCUCUGGCAAAAGCAAAAUUGAUGGAGGAGUGGGACAUAAAAGAAAAGGUGAAGUGUCUCAUCACUGAUGCUGCACCAAAUAUGAUAAGCUUGUGCCAAGGCAUUGCCUGUGAGACAUUCUGUUUGCAUCACACACACUUAAUUUAAUAGUGCAAAAGUCAUUUGACCAUGUCCCAGCCCUUAAAGGUGGAGUAUGAGAUUUUUUUCAGGAGUAUUUUUUUACCAUAUUGCUUGAAAAGCUCCUCACACCCAUGUUGCAAGCAGUACAAUAGAAGGUUUGACCCAAAAACGAAAUAUUUUAAUCCAGUCUACAGUGUAAAAGGAAAAAUGCCAUCCAAUCAUAUCGAGGUACCACCUCAAAAUGAUUGGAUACUGACACGUCAAUCAGACUGAAGCCCGAGCAGCCCGGCCCUUCUGUGUGUGUGUGUGUGUGUGUGUGUGUGUGUGUGUGUGUGUGUGUGUGAGAGAGAGAGAGAGAGCAGUGUCACACAAAAAGCACAGGAUUCUCUCAGUGCGCUUCCUCCAAACAACGGGGAUUUACACGAAAACGGAAGGAGAUAUUCACAAAAUUCUUUCACAGUGAGUGCCACAAGGCUUCCCUGAACACACUGAUGUAAUUUUUUUUGUCUGUAGUGUAAAAAAUGAGGUCACGAGAGCGAGUUAAAAACGAGUGACUUUUCUGGCAAGUUUUAUAAUGGAAGUCUAUGAGCUGGGCGGCUGUGCUCUCCUCACCUUCAGGCUUCUCAUUCAAAAACUGCAAGUCCUAUCGUGUAGGUAGACACAUUGUGUGAAUCAGGACAAGUGUGGCUGCUACUUUUGAGAAAAUUGUGUGUGGAGUGAAAAUUGGGGCUGAAAACACAGUUUAAAUGAGAAAGUUUGAGCUAUUUUUCCAAGCUCUCUACACUCUGCUCUAAGGGGGAGGAGGGGUGGAGAC
Neoarius graeffei (lesser salmon catfish) is the source of this 2028-nucleotide long non-coding RNA. RefSeq lists it as uncharacterized. The record is from RefSeq and is a predicted model, not a curated record. NCBI's taxonomy places the organism in Eukaryota, Metazoa, Chordata, Actinopteri, Siluriformes, Ariidae. The transcript is spliced from 6 exons.